Molecule: ribosomal RNA, 460 nt
Filed under: uncultured bacterium
Lineage: Bacteria
Description: partial 16S ribosomal RNA
Rfam family: Bacterial small subunit ribosomal RNA
Source: RNAcentral
CCUACGGGUGGCUGCAGUGAGGAAUAUUGGUCAAUGGGCGUAAGCCUGAACCAGCCAAGUCGCGUGAGGGAUGAAGGUUCUAUGGAUCGUAAACCUCUUUUAUAAGGGAAUAAAGUGUGGGACGUGUCCUAUUUUGUAUGUACCUUAUGAAUAAGGAUCGGCUAACUCCGUGCCAGCAGCCGCGGUAAUACGGAGGAUCCGAGCGUUAUCCGGAUUUAUUGGGUUUAAAGGGUGGGUAGGCGGCCUUUUAAGUCAGCGGUGAAAGUCUGUGGCUCAACCAGAGAAUUGCCGUUGAAAAUGGGGGGCUUGAGUAGGUUUGAGGCAGGCGGAAUGCGUGGUGUAGCGGUGAAAUGCUUAGAGAUCACGCAGAACCCCGAUUGCGAAGGCAGCCUGCCAAGCCAUGACUGACGCUGAUGCACGAAAGCGUGGGGAUCAAACAGGAUUAGAUACCCCAGUAGUC